AUUGCGCAAUGGGGGGAACCCUGACGCAGCAACGCCGCGUGAAGGAAGAAGGUUUUCGGAUCGUAAACUUCUUUAAGUGUGGAAGAUAAUGACGGUACACACAGAAUAAGCCACGGCUAACUACGUGCCAGCAGCCGCGGUAAUACGUAGGGGGCUAGCGUUAUCCGGAAUUACUGGGCGUAAAGGGUGCGUAGGUGGUUUCUUAAGUCAGAGGUGAAAGGCUACGGCUCAACCGUAGUAAGCCUUUGAAACUGGGAAACUUGAGUGCAGGAGAGGAGAGUGGAAUUCCUAGUGUAGCGGUGAAAUGCGUAGAUAUUAGGAGGAACACCAGUUGCGAAGGCGGCUCUCUGGACUGUAACUGACACUGAGGCACGAAAGCGUGGGGAGCA
This 389-nucleotide ribosomal RNA is filed under the name uncultured bacterium. RNAcentral describes it as "bacterial SSU rRNA". It matches the Rfam family "Bacterial small subunit ribosomal RNA", at positions 363 to 770 of the family's 1533-position model. The record is from RNAcentral.